CAGCAGCCGCGGUAAAACGAACCGUGCGAACGUUAUUCGGAAUUACUGGGCUUAAAGCGCGUGUAGGCGGGUCGGCACGUCGGUCGCUGAAAUCCCCCGGCUCAACCGGGGAAGUGGCGCCGAUACGGCCGGCCUGGAGGGGGGUAGGGGGGUUUGGAACUUCCGGUGGAGCGGUGAAAUGCGUUGAGAUCGGAAGGAACGCCCGUGGCGAAAGCGAGACCCUGGACCCUUACUGACGCUGAGACGCGAAAGCCAGGGGAGCGAACGGGAUUAGAUACCCGCGUAGUCCCUGUCUCUUAUA
Molecule: ribosomal RNA, 301 nt
Filed under: uncultured bacterium
Lineage: Bacteria
Description: partial 16S ribosomal RNA
Rfam family: Bacterial small subunit ribosomal RNA
Source: RNAcentral